Molecule: non-coding RNA, 303 nt
Organism: Camelina sativa (false flax)
Lineage: Eukaryota; Viridiplantae; Streptophyta; Magnoliopsida; Brassicales; Brassicaceae
Source: RefSeq, a predicted model, not a curated record
AGAAGAGAAGGUUGCUGUGUUGCAGCUUUACUGGGGUGAUUGUUCACUGGAGCUUGUUGAUCUUGCUCACCUUGCCUGUGUCAAAGUUGUUCCUCAGGUGGGGAAUGUCGAAGAAGCUAGAAAGGCUGUUGAUGUAGGAGUAGACGCCAUUAUUGUCCAAGGGUAUGAAGCAGGUGGGCAUGUAAUUGGAAAGGACGGUCUCUUUUCAUUGUUGCCAAGAGUGGUGGAUGUAGUUGGGGAAAGAGAUAUCCCCGUUAUUGCUGCUGGAGGAAUUGUGGAUGCACGCGGUUAUGUUGCAGCCUU